RNAcentral lists this ribosomal RNA (253 nucleotides) under uncultured bacterium. RNAcentral describes it as "partial 16S ribosomal RNA". It matches the Rfam family "Bacterial small subunit ribosomal RNA", at positions 524 to 776 of the family's 1533-position model. The record is from RNAcentral.
UACAGAGGCCCCAAGCGUUGUCCGGAAUUAUUGGGCGUAAAGCGUCCGCAGGCGGCCUGUUACAUCUUCGAUUAAAUCCCACCGCUCAACGGUGGAUCUGUCGAAGACAUGGGCAGGCUCGAGGGACGGAGAGGUUAGCGGAACUCCUGGUGGAGCGGUGAAAUGCGUUGAUAUCAGGGGGAACACCAAUUGCGAAGGCAGCUAACUGGCCGUUUCCUGACGCUCAGGGACGACAGCGUAGGGAGUGAACGGG